RNAcentral lists this ribosomal RNA (253 nucleotides) under uncultured bacterium. RNAcentral's name for it is "partial 16S ribosomal RNA". It matches the Rfam family "Bacterial small subunit ribosomal RNA", at positions 524 to 776 of the family's 1533-position model. The record is from RNAcentral.
UACGUAGGGUGCAGGCGUUAAUCGGAAUUACUGGGCGUAAAGCGUGCGCAGGCGGUUUGCUAAGACAGGUGUGAAAUCCCCGGGCUUAACCUGGGAACUGCGCUUGUAACUGGCAAGCUAGAGUGUGGCAGAGGGGGGUGGAAUUCCACGUGUAGCAGUGAAAUGCGUAGAGAUGUGGAGGAACACCGAUGGCGGAGGCAGCCCCCUGGGCUAACACUGACGCUCAUGCACGAAAGCGUGGGGAGCAAACAGG